GGAAAAAUAGCUCAGUGGUAGAGCAUAUGCUCAGCAUGCACAAGGUCCUGGGUUCAAUCCCCAGUACCUCCA
Molecule: transfer RNA, 72 nt
Filed under: Camelus bactrianus (Bactrian camel)
Lineage: Eukaryota; Metazoa; Chordata; Mammalia; Artiodactyla; Camelidae
Also listed under: 2 other names
Rfam family: tRNA
About the family: Transfer RNA (tRNA) molecules are approximately 80 nucleotides in length. Their secondary structure includes four short double-helical elements and three loops (D, anti-codon, and T loops).
Source: Rfam by way of RNAcentral